Molecule: transfer RNA, 90 nt
Filed under: Tianweitania sediminis
Lineage: Bacteria; Pseudomonadati; Pseudomonadota; Alphaproteobacteria; Hyphomicrobiales; Phyllobacteriaceae
Also listed under: 4 other names
Description: tRNA-Ser
Rfam family: tRNA
About the family: Transfer RNA (tRNA) molecules are approximately 80 nucleotides in length. Their secondary structure includes four short double-helical elements and three loops (D, anti-codon, and T loops).
Source: RNAcentral
GGAGAGGUGGCCGAGUGGUCGAAGGCGCGCCCCUGCUAAGGGCGUAGAGGUGAAAGCUUCUCGAGGGUUCGAAUCCCUUCCUCUCCGCCA